Molecule: long non-coding RNA, 549 nt
Organism: Pyrus x bretschneideri (Chinese white pear)
Lineage: Eukaryota; Viridiplantae; Streptophyta; Magnoliopsida; Rosales; Rosaceae
Exons: 3
Source: RefSeq, a predicted model, not a curated record
AGUCUCUGAUUGUUUGAUCAUCCUCUAUAUAUUUGAUGAAGCUUCAACUAGCUUCUACCAGACAACCCCUCAUUUUUUUAUGGUAAUUAAGCUUCAUCUCUAAUUGUUUAUUGUCUGAUUAGAUUAUUAUAAUAUUUGGGUUGUUGGAUAUGUUGGAUUUGAAUUGAUUUUUUGUUUUCAUUUUUCAUAGUGAUGGAUUUUCGAAUGAAAUGCACUCAACCCUAAAUUCUAGUGGGGGUGGCUGAAGCAGUUGCCGGAUAUGACUUAUGGCAGCCAAGUUUAGGAGUCAAAAUGACCACACUACCCCGUCAAGGGUUCAAAUCUUGCCGUCAGAUCGCAUUGUAAGGGGUCUCUUUGGAAAAACAAUUCUUAAGACCAAUUGUGAGGUUUGUUCUUAUAUCGUACAUGAGUGUUUUUAUAACUCUUUUGCACAAUUGUUAGUAUUUGUAGUUGUGAUUGGUGUUGUCCUACAUGUUUGGCUUGAAGAAAUAAGACAUUACUUUUGAUAAACCAUAUUGAGAGUGAAGGAAUCUCUUUUUGACCUGGUCA